Long non-coding RNA from Solanum dulcamara, 669 nucleotides. RefSeq lists it as uncharacterized. The record is from RefSeq and is a predicted model, not a curated record. The transcript has 2 exons. NCBI's taxonomy places the organism in Eukaryota, Viridiplantae, Streptophyta, Magnoliopsida, Solanales, Solanaceae.
AUGCUCUAAUCAUUCAGCCAAUUGUGUUAUCAAAUUUGUCCAAAAGGAUCCAAUUUGAGGCCCAAAGCGUAGAAGCUCAAAGAAACCUUCAGAUCAGCCCACAAGAAAAUCUAGCAUCAUCCCAAACUCAUUUGAAACCCUACAAUGAAAGCAAUCACUCUUCCCUUUCUCUUAUCUGUACAGUAUCCUUUUCCAAACUAAGUCAAACGAUCUUCAACGAAGGACAGAGGUCAUCAGUUCCAUCUUGGUGAAAUUUUCAUCUCUUUCUUCUGGAAAAAUAUAGUUACCCUCUGUUCUCUUCCUCUUUGAUGAGACGUUAAUCUCCAUCUUAACCAACAUAUAUUGUUAUGCCAAUUCUAGAAAUAAAAUUCUUUUCUCUUGUGUUUUUUAAAUUUCUCCAUCGUUCUUCUCUAUCAAAAGAUUUGGUCAAACGAGAGUCUCACUUUAGGACUCGACGUCACCGCAAGACCUGAAGCGUGUAUCUACAUUUUUGUUCGUGCCUUUCUCUCUCGAAAUACAUUCGAACAGAAAUGAAUGACGGACUAGGAGGAGUGAAGGAUAUUCUAUUUUUCUAUCUUUGCUAAUUAAUUUUUGUGCAUCUCUUAUGUGUUUUUGUCUACUGUUAACUACUACUUGUUAUAUAUAUAUUUUAUUGCUUGUUUUGUAUGA